This 216-nucleotide unclassified non-coding RNA is filed under the name Hevea brasiliensis (rubber tree). Lineage: Eukaryota; Viridiplantae; Streptophyta; Magnoliopsida; Malpighiales; Euphorbiaceae. The record is from RNAcentral.
AAAAGCUCCGGCCAUAUAUAAGCUCGAAUACAGAAAAAGUAAUCAUUAGUUAUUUCAAAGUGUAUCUCAACCAUGGAAGAUUCUCUUAUCACAAGAGAGAAUACCCAGAAAGCGCUUAUUACAGUAUGAUCCACCACCUUUUACAAACUCGCUCCAGAUUAAAAUCCAGAGAUGAAAGCUAACAGAAUGUGCAAAAAAAAAAAAAAGAGCAUAUAU